UGGCACCCCUGUAGCCGCUAUGUUUCCCACGCCCGUGGCAGGCCUGAGAGAUUAUGUUUGCGGGGGGUGCUUUUUUUGUAGCUUCUGUGUUCGCCAUAUUUGAAAGGGGCAGACGGCCAUGUUCGUGAACGGCGCUUCCCUUGGUGCACCUGUGGCCGCCAUGUUUGAGCGAGGACCCCGUGGCAGGCCAGGACCGUUUCUCCGGUGCUAUCCCAGAGCAUGGCGCAUCCACUCAUUCACUCAAGGAAAGCCAGGGGUCUGUGCGGGGAUGCUGCAGGACACGAGAACCAGCCAAGACCUAUGGCCCCUGCAGCCACCGAGGGCUCGAGAGCGCCCCUGUGGACUUGGCUGGGCCCUUCAUGGUGACAUCCAGGAAUGCGGCUGAGCGCGGGUGUUGACCUCGCUGUUUGCUGGAAUGUUUGGGUUCUUGGACCAUGUCAGUGACGGCUGUGUCACCAUGGCCUUGCUAUCCCCAGGAAAACCUAACAUGCACCCCGCGCCUGUCCUCUGGGACUCCCAUCCUCCUCCUUUGUCUGACCCCUGAGAGGCUUACCGUUUCCCCAGGGCAGCCCCGGCUGUGGCCCUCGGCCCUGCUCCAGGCGGCCAUGUCAGUGUCCUCCCUCGGCGCUCCCAACACCCUACCUGGCUCUGCGAUGGCCACCCUGGACUCCUAAACACCCCAGAAAGGGAAGAGAUUUAAGAGGAACCUUGAUUCCUGCCAUUCUGCGCAGUCGUGGGUCCCUCCUCCACCUGGGGCCCUCAAGGGGAUUUCUGUCCGCACUCCCAGCCAGCGACCCCUCCCAGUUCCUGCAGCUGGAGCGGCCCUCUCUCCUGAACAUUCG
RNAcentral lists this long non-coding RNA (842 nucleotides) under Homo sapiens (human). RNAcentral describes it as "non-protein coding LINC01134:7". Lineage: Eukaryota; Metazoa; Chordata; Mammalia; Primates; Hominidae. The record is from RNAcentral.